GUAGGUUUUCUAGGGAAGGCUGGUGGGUUUCCUCACUGGGAGCAAGGCAUCCUCUGCAGUCACAUAUGGGCAAUGACAGCUCAUUCUCACUAGGGUCUGUCCUGCUCACAUCACAAAAAUAACCAUAAAAGUCCCUAUUAUUUACUGAGGGCUUAUCGUGGGUGAGGUGCCGCACUGAGGGGCAGUCCCUCCAGGGGUAUUGUUUCCAUUUCACAGGGAGAAGUGUUGUUGAAGUUCAGAGAAGUUAGGUAACCUGCCUAAGGCCUCACAGCACCACGAGUGGCAGAGCUGGGAUUCUACCCCAGGCACUUAGCUCUGAAGCCCGAGCUCCUGACCACUUUGCCUGUAUCCUUUCAUAAAUGUAAUCUUUAAGCUGCGGCUGUUCCCUGUUAAGCCCCUGUUUAAAGAUCUAUCAAAGUAGAUGCCUCCUCUGAGUUGCAGCCUUCUCUGAUUCUCCUUAUCAUCAUGAGAGCAGAUACCAAGAGGUAGAGAUGGCCAAAAGGUUUUAAGUUCCCUCUAUUCUCUUGUACAAUGCAGUGCCAAGUAAUACCCUGGGGUUACUCACACUGCUAUGGCCUCUAGUUGAAGAUAGGAGUGCUGUGGUUUUUUUCUUGGCAAGAAAUUGUGGACCAGGGGUGAUAUCCAAUCACAGUCCUCUGGCCUCAUUUGAGACACAGAGGGCAAGUAUUUUUUUAACCCUAUUAUUUUACAAAAAUAUUAAAAGGCAAGCAACUGGACAUGGUGGCUCAUGCUGUAAUCCCAUUGUUUAUGGGAAGCUGAGGUGGGAGGACCACUUGAGGCCAGGAAUUCGAGAUCAGCCUGGACAACAUGGUGAGACCCCAUCUCUACAAAAAAAAAAUAUAUAUAUAGUCAAGUGUGGUAGUGCACACCUGUAGUCCCAGCUACUUGAGAGACUGAGGCAGGAGGAUUGCUUGAAUCCAGGAGCUUAAAGCUGCAGUGAGUUAUGAUCGUCCCACUGCACUCCAGCCUGUGUGACAGAGCACGAUUCUGUUAGACUGGGUAACAGAGUGAGACCCUGUCUCAAAAAUAACAGCAAGUAAGCAAUCAUGAUUUUUUGACUUUUCAAGGAAUUUGCAAACAACAUGUAUUCCCUUUGCCCAUCUAGCUUUUGGGAAAGGACACCCAAAUUCCAACAGUCACCUACCUAGAAAAAUAGAUAACCACAGCCAUGGUCCAUUCCAUUGCGACUUGGUGAUGUCAGAAGGUCUCAGGCUCAGGAGGGGCAUCUCCCAGGGUCUCUCAGCAAAUAUCCCGAUUCCUUAAACUGGGACAGUGUUUUCUGUCUGCAGAGUGUGCUCCCACCUUGGAAUGGGCUUGUCUGGCCUGACCCUGAAUAUGCCCAGCAGGGACUGCAUCCCUCAGUUCAUAGAUACAGAGGUUGAAGGUCAGGGAGGUGAAGACAGAAGGGGCAGCCAGUCAGAGCCAGCAGCUGCAGCAGGACCCAGAUUUCUUGAUUCUGAGUCCAGGAUUCUUUCCACUCCACCAGCUCUCUUGUAUGGACAGCUCAGGGGUCAGAGAAAGCACCUUUAUUUCUGAAUUUCCUUCUUCUCUCCUGUAGCCUUAUGACCAGUGUUCAGAAGAUUUAUCUCUUUCUAGCUUGGGACUUGCACCCAGCAAGUUUCCAUGCAAGGCAGCUGCCUUUAAGAAGAACAGAAGAGUCCCAGUUGGGCUUAUGGGGAAUGAAAUCAGUCCCAAGCCCCGAUCUCUCUGAAAAGUUGUUAUUAAAUUCUGUGCCUGGCCCUGACCUGGAUUUAAAGAUUUGCAAGAAGACAAAUUCCAAACAGAUGCCCAUUAGGGCCGUGACAGCCGCAGCUUAAAGAUAACAUUUACAUUCUGCCGGGGUUUGUAUCUCUCUGUUCCCCACUCGGCCCCUCUCUUUCCUCCGGUGGGAUCAAUACCUCGGUUGAGGUUACGUGGAGGUGGCCACAUUCUUUUAAGCUGUUUGCUCAGUGCUUGGUUUGCUCUGCUAACACGCUGGGCACUUCUUCCAACAGCCCUGUUUGCCCAGCAUUAGGGCUGUUUGUUGAAACACCUAGCCCAAUCCGAGGGGGCUCAGCUUUCUAAACAGUUGGUCCCCGAAUCUGUCAAUCAAUAACACCAAUUGGGUUCCUGAUACGAACAGCAAGUGUGGCCAAGUCCAAUAUUUGCCCAAACACUGCCUCCUCCCCCUGCACCUGACUGUCCCCCAGCUUGACUAAAAGGACGAUCACCAGGCGCAUGGGCUGCUGGGAAGAUACAAUGUUGGCAAACAGGGAGCUGGUUCCAGGAAAGAAGGGCACAUGAGCAAACAUGAUGGCCCCUUUAUGAGAGAUGGAAUAAAAAGGCCUACCUCAUUGGGCUCGUGUGGGUGAGGAGAACUGAAGAGUCUGAGAGCGCGGCACGAGCCAGAGGCUACGGAAAACACUGCCCUCCUACACUCCACCUUGGAGAGACCCAGAAAAGAACAAGCUUCAUUUGUAAAAAAGGAAAACAACUCAGGCAAUGGGGGUGGCUUAAAGGCACUCUACAGUGUGCAGAUGCCUUCCACUUCUUCCAUCUGCCCUGUCUCUCCAAGAACCCCUAUGGCCCCGGUCUCAGAACAGAGCUGAGUGCAGAAAUGAAAAUCUAUGGCUCUGUGUUCCAAAACGAUGAAGAAUUUCAAGAUGGUGGCAGUGGUAAAAUCUUUCUCCAGGAAAAAUCUGUCCUUGGCCCAAUGUGUAAACACUUGCUGAGGAACUUGGAAUAACUUGCAGUGUCUUGCAGUAUUGUGAAACCAGCAACUUGUUCACAAUUCUUCUGAAUUUCUUGGGAAAUUUGAAGUGGAGUACCUGUACCAACAUGAAAUGACACGAAUUUAAGUGACGCUCAACAACGAAAAGCAAAAAGAACCAAAGAGGAAGCAACUGAAACAACAUCUGGAUGUAUUUAAAAAUAUACAAUGCCUCCAAAAUCAGGUGUCAUUAAUGAAAAUUCUGAAGAAAUGCCACCGGACAUAGCCAACGCACCUACGCUGUUGUUAUUCAUUUCCUGCUUUUCACAGAAAACAAUUUUGUUGCAUGGAAGAUCGGACAAGGCUGUUCUCUGAAGUUCCCUCAUCCACCUAGAAACCAGAUGGCCGAAGAGGAACACAAUUGCCUUCCAUCCCCUUCCUGAAAUUUCAUUAUCUAGAGGAUUAAAACCCAUAUCACAGAGGAAGAGAUUGAAAAUUAAACAUCACACCUACAACCCAUACUUCGGAGCACUGACCCAAAUUGUCUAUUUUUAAGUCCCAUUCCAUUUCCAAAGAUAAUUAUUUACUAACCAUUGUCUGGAGCAUUGGGCCCAUUCAUUCCUCUUAAAAAUCAUUUGCUGGGCCAGGAGUGGUGGCUUACGCCUGUAAUCCCAGCACUGGGAGGCCGAAGCGGGAGGAUCACGAGGUCAAGAGAUCGAGACCAUCCUGGCCAACAUGGUGAAACCCUGUCUCUACUAAAAAUACAAAAAUUAGCUGGGUGUAGUGGCACAUGCCUGUAGUCUCAGCUACUCGGGAGACUGAGGCAGGAGAAUUGCUUGAACCCAGGAGGUGGAGGUUGCAGUGAGCCGAGAUCAUGCCACUGCACUCCAGCCUGGCGAAAGAGUGAGAUUCCGUCUCAAAAAAAAAAAAAAAUUAUUUUCUACCCCUCAAAACAGCCACUUUCUCCUCCAUCUCCUCUUCCCUGAUGAAGAAAGGCGUAUGAGCAUCUGGACCUCAUUGGGUUUAGGUCAUCAUGUUCUUGCAAUUCCUGUGUGCUUAUGCACAUUAAAUGAAUUUGUAUGCCUUUUCCUCUUAUUAAUCUGCCUAUUGUAAAUUCAUUUUCAGUGAACUUCAAAGGGCAGAGGGGAAACUGUCCCUUGGCCUCUACCCCUCCAAGGCCCCACUUUUUUGUCAACACUCCUUGGACGCAGCAGAAGUAUGAACAUAAUAUGGUCCUGAAUGAGGCUGAGUCUUUGGGCGCAGAAGACCCGGGUUAAUAAAAAUAGGAAGGUAAGAAAAGAAAAGAAAAAUCAAGACACAUCAUAGGACUAAAUUCCUAUUAUUUAUCCACUCAGGAUUGACCACCCCUUUGGGCCAGAUAGUUGUACCCCCAUGUACCAGGUGGGCACAUGAAGACACAAGAAGUGCUGUGAUGGUUCAUUUUGCACGUCACCUUGCGUGGAGUAUGCCAACUCAUUGUUUGGUCAAACACUAGUCUGGACAUGGUGGUAAAGGUAUUUUUUAGAUGAGAUUAACACUUAAAUCAGUAAAGCAGGUUACCCACCAUACUACGGGUGGGCCCUGUCCAAUCAGUUGAAGGCAUUAAGAACAAAGAUUGAGGUUUCCUAAAGAAGAUGGAAUUCUCCUUGAGACUACAACAUAGAAACCCUAUCUGAGUUUCCAGCCUGUUGCCCUGUGGAAUUCAAACUCAGGACUCCGGUCUAUGACAUUAACCCUCACUUAACUUUUCAGCCUGCCAGCCUGCCCUAUGGAUUUCGGACUUGCCAGCCACACAAUUCCUUAAAAUAAAUCUCUCCGUCUCUGUCUGUUUCUCUCUGUCUAUAUACACCCCUGGCUGUACCACUGAGGACUGAAUUUUAACAGGCAGCAGGAAACUGGGAUUCUUAG
Molecule: long non-coding RNA, 4618 nt
Filed under: Homo sapiens (human)
Lineage: Eukaryota; Metazoa; Chordata; Mammalia; Primates; Hominidae
Description: HSALNT0222060
Source: RNAcentral